GAAGGUGUACUGUGAGGUAUGCUGGAGGUAUCAGAAGUGCGAAUGCUGACAUAAGUAACGAUAAAGCGGGUGAAAAGCCCGCUCGCCGGAAGACCAAGGGUUCCUGUCCAACGUUAAUCGGGGCAGGGUGAGUCGACCCCUAAGGCGAGGCCGAAAGGCGUAGUCGAUGGGAAACAGGUUAAUAUUCCUGUACUUGGUGUUACUGCGAAGGGGGGACGGAGAAGGCUAUGUUGGCCGGGCGACGGUUGUCCCGGUUUAAGCGUGUAGGCUGGUUUUCCAGGCAAAUCCGGAAAAU
RNAcentral lists this ribosomal RNA (295 nucleotides) under Escherichia coli. Its description in RNAcentral is "partial 23S ribosomal RNA". It matches the Rfam family "Bacterial large subunit ribosomal RNA", at positions 1252 to 1550 of the family's 2925-position model. Lineage: Bacteria; Pseudomonadati; Pseudomonadota; Gammaproteobacteria; Enterobacterales; Enterobacteriaceae. The record is from RNAcentral.